This 258-nucleotide ribosomal RNA is filed under the name uncultured bacterium. RNAcentral describes it as "partial 16S ribosomal RNA". It matches the Rfam family "Bacterial small subunit ribosomal RNA", at positions 524 to 776 of the family's 1533-position model. The record is from RNAcentral.
UACGGAGGAUCCAAGCGUUUAUCCGGAUUUAUUGGGUUUAAAGGGUGCGUAGGCGGCUUAUUAAGUCAGGGGUGAAAGACGGUGGCUCAACCAUCGCAGUGCCUUUGAUACUGAUGAGCUUGAAUGAACUAGAGGUAGGCGGAAUGUGACAAGUAGCGGUGAAAUGCAUAGAUAUGUCACAGAACACCGAUUGCGAAGGCAGCUUACUAUGGUUUUUAUUGACGCUGAGGCACGAAAAGCGUGGGGGAUCAAAACAGG